RNAcentral lists this ribosomal RNA (253 nucleotides) under uncultured bacterium. RNAcentral's name for it is "partial 16S ribosomal RNA". It matches the Rfam family "Bacterial small subunit ribosomal RNA", at positions 524 to 776 of the family's 1533-position model. The record is from RNAcentral.
UACAGAGGUGGCAAGCGUUGUUCGGAAUUACUGGGCGUAAAGGGCGCGUAGGCGGUCUUCUAAGUCCUGUGUGAAAUCCCUCGGCUCAACCGGGGAACUGCGUGUGAGACUGGAUGGCUUGAGUUUGGGAGAGGAAUGCGGAAUUCCAGGUGUAGCGGUGAAAUGCGUAGAUAUUAGGAGGAACACCGGUGGCGAAGGCGCCGCUCUGGGCCGAUACUGACGCUGAGGAGCGAAAGCGUGGGUAGCAAACAGG